UGAGGAAUAUUGGUCAAUGGGCGAGAGCCUGAACCAGCCAAGUCGCGUGAAGGAAGACUGCCUUAUGGGUUGUAAACUUCUUUUAUACAGGAAUAAAAAGGCUUACGUGUAGGCCAUUGCAAGUACUGUAUGAAUAAGCAUCGGCUAACUCCGUGCCAGCAGCCGCGGUAAUACGGAGGAUGCGAGCGUUAUCCGGAUUUAUUGGGUUUAAAGGGUGCGCAGGCGGGCUUUUAAGUCAGCGGUGAAAUCUGGACGCUUAACGUCCAAACUGCCGUUGAAACUGGGAGUCUUGAGUAUGGAUGAAGUAGGCGGAAUUCGUUGUGUAGCGGUGACAUGCAUAGAUAUAACGAGGAACUCCGAUUGCGUAGGCAGCUUACUAAGCCAUAACUGACGCUCAUGCACGAAAGCGUGGGGAUCAAACAGGAUUAGAUACCAUGGUAGUCCACGCCGUAAAACGAUGAUUACUAGUUGUAUGCGAUAUGAUAGUAUGUGACUAAGCGAAAGCGAUAAGUAAUCCACCUGGGGAGUACGCCGGCAACGGUGAAACUCAAAGGAAUUGACGGGGGUCAUAGCUG
RNAcentral lists this ribosomal RNA (575 nucleotides) under uncultured bacterium. Its description in RNAcentral is "partial 16S ribosomal RNA". It matches the Rfam family "Bacterial small subunit ribosomal RNA", at positions 355 to 928 of the family's 1533-position model. The record is from RNAcentral.